RNAcentral lists this long non-coding RNA (1694 nucleotides) under Ananas comosus (pineapple). RNAcentral's name for it is "long non-coding RNA (ACOM_LNC022403)". Lineage: Eukaryota; Viridiplantae; Streptophyta; Magnoliopsida; Poales; Bromeliaceae. The record is from RNAcentral.
GUCCAAAAGUACCCAAUCUGAAACCAAUGCUCUCUUGGUCAGCACCGCAGACCUCAAGCCAAUGCCCUGGAGGUCCGCACCGCAACACCUCCCGACAGUACCACUGCCGCUCUAACAUGCAUAUAACCCCUCUAGGGCUCACGGGUUGUCACCAUUCAACCACUUUUCCGGAAAAGAACACUCCUUGCGGUGGAUCAGACCGCCAGUGUUCGUGAAAUGCGACGAGUAUCGGGCGAUCAAUGCAAUAUGGUCAAAGAACAACCGUCGGCAACCAGCCGACAAUCCUGCCCCCCAGGGCCUAUCGAUCGCAUAGGUCAUCAACUGUAAAGAAGCACAAGAACCGACCACUCAGGUCAACUAGGAUGGGACAACAUCGACAUCCUCUCAAACAUAUGCAAAUACUGCUCAAUGAACCACAAGGACUGACCACUCAGAUCAACUAGGAUAUGAAGCUCGACCAAUCACGUCACAAGUACAGGAUAUGAAACUCGACCAAUCCUGUCACAAGUAUAGGAUAUGAAACUCGACCAAUCAUGUCACAAGUAUAGGAUAUGAAACUCAACCAAUCAUGUCACAAGUAUAGGAUAUGAAACUCGACCAAUCAUGUCACAAGUAUAGGAUAUGAGUAAAGUAUAAUCAUCCGUCGGCAACUAACCGACAAUCCCACCCCUUAGGGUAUACCGACCUCAACGGUCAUCAGACAACAAAGGUCGAGGAACUCACCGAAUAGGUCACAAAUACUGAAUACUAGAAUUGACCGACUAGAUCGCUAAUCUCACAGAUAAUCACAGAAUCGCUCUACUAUAAAUAUGAAAUAGGGUAUGCAGAAUAGCUAAGUAGGGCAACAAGGAAAUUUGGUAUCACAUACAGAUAGACUAUACUCCUACACAUGAUACUAAGCAUGGAAACAUCUGAGUAGAGUAUAAUCAAACAACGUGGGUGUAAUGUAAACAAUAGAGGUGCAAAGCUCAACAUAUAAUAUAAGCAUGAAUAAUAACAAAAGAGCAAGGGUAAGAAACCAUCACCGAGCGUGCACCACUGUACCCACGUCGGAUCGAAGUACCCACCUGUACAACUGUCGCGCCUGUCUCCUGACUGCAAAAGAACGUCAACAGGACCUAAGGAGGGUCCACUGGGUUAGUGUCUAACCCACGACUAAGAACCCUUAAAAGCAUAACCCCACAAAUAAACCACUGAAUACACAACCCACAAACAAUCCCACGGAGAUCGGUUUCCCAAAACCGAUUAUCGAACAAACCGGAAAUCCCGAAAAUCGCACCGAGACUCUGCCGGGACCCACGGACUGUCCCGGAACUCACCGACUCGCACCACGAGUCACCCGCUGCCCCAAAGCACUCCAAUUUGGAUGCCUUGGCAGUGAACACGAGGUAACACAACCAUACGAUCAUCGCCGGAUAAUCGUACGAAUCCGGGUUUCCGGAAGUGUCUAUUUCGACACCGGAACCCACCGUCGCUCACCCAUCAUCAUCAAACCCACAAAAUGAUGAUGGUGACCAGCCAACAAGGCUCAGCGACAAAACACGAAGCAACCAAACACCGUCGGAAAGAAUCCGAACCGAAACCGCGUUCUUUCGGUGAAUUUCGCCGAAAAACGCACCGAAAUCGACCUACCGAUUUCCGCGAAAGUUAACGGACCAUGGACAAUCAGUCCAGCGGUCAUUACAAACUCCCAC